UACGGAGGGGGCUAGCGUUGUUCGGAAUCACUGGGCGUAAAGCGCACGUAGGCGGGGCGCUAAGUCGGGGGUGAAAUCCUCGGGCUCAACCUCAGAACUGCCUUCGAUACUGGCGACCUUGAGUACGGGAGAGGUGAGUGGAAUUCCCAGUGUAGAGGUGAAAUUCGUAGAUAUUGGGAAGAACACCAGUGGCGAAGGCGGCUCACUGGCCCGUAACUGACGCUGAGGUGCGAAAGCGUGGGGAGCAAACAGG
This 253-nucleotide ribosomal RNA is filed under the name uncultured bacterium. RNAcentral describes it as "partial 16S ribosomal RNA". It matches the Rfam family "Bacterial small subunit ribosomal RNA", at positions 524 to 776 of the family's 1533-position model. The record is from RNAcentral.